GAAACAUGCGCAUAUUGGCCGUGGGCACCUCUGUGACACCACGAAGCUUCCAGAGAUGACUGGGGGCAAGCCCACUGAGAUACCAUAUUGGAGAGAAGGGCAGCACCCCUGUAUGGGCAGCUUUGCUGGCUAUGAUGGAAAGAACUUCAGACUGGGAGUCAAAAGAUUUGGAUUCUGGGCUUUGCCAGACCACUCGUUAGUGACAUGACCUUGGGCCAAAGUUUCAGGUUCCACGUGGGAGCAAAAGGACACAGCAGUUCCAGCUCUUAUCUUCUGACAAGUUUCAGGCAUAGUGGAAAGAAACUCUCUAUUAUUUUCACCCCAGAGAAUCCAGGUGUUGAGAGACUUGAUCUGGGGAAGUAAGUUGCAAGCAUGAUGACAAUUUACCUCUGAAUAGAUCAGCUGUUAUCUCAGAAGAACAAGGACAUUCUCCUCCACAACUAUUAUCACAGUCAAUAAAGUUAAAUUGACACGAUAAUAUUGACCAAUAGAUACUCCAUAUUAAUUUUCUCCAAAUGUCCCAAUAAUGUCCUCCUUAAUCUAGGAUCUUAACAAGGGUCACGGGUCAGGUGAUUAGUUAUCCUCCGCCUUUUCUUUCUUUCAUGACCAGGGCAUUUUUAAGGAGUC
RNAcentral lists this long non-coding RNA (627 nucleotides) under Equus asinus (donkey). RNAcentral describes it as "lncRNA (ENSEASG00005029984.1)". Lineage: Eukaryota; Metazoa; Chordata; Mammalia; Perissodactyla; Equidae. The record is from RNAcentral.